AACCCUUGAGAGUGGCGAACGGGUGAGUAAUAUACUCGGAACGUGCCCAGUCGUGGGGGAUAACGUAGCGAAAGUUACGCUAAUACCGCAUACGAUCUAAGGAUGAAGCGGGGAUCGCAAGACCUCGCGCGAUUGGAGCGGCCGAUAUCAGAUUAGGUAGUUGGUGAGGUAAGGCUCACCAAGCCGACGAUCUGUAGCUGGUCUGAGAGGAUGAUCAGCCACACUGGGACUGAGACACGGCCCAGACUCCUACGGGAGGCAGCAGUGGGAAUAUUGGACAAUGGGCGAAAGCCUGAUCCAGCAAUGCCGCGUGAGUGAUGAAGGCCUUAGGGUUGUAAAGCUCUUUUACCCGGGAUGAUAAUGACAGUACCGGGAGAAUAAGCUCCGGCUAACUCCGUG
RNAcentral lists this ribosomal RNA (399 nucleotides) under uncultured bacterium. RNAcentral describes it as "bacterial SSU rRNA". It matches the Rfam family "Bacterial small subunit ribosomal RNA", at positions 84 to 507 of the family's 1533-position model. The record is from RNAcentral.